UCACUGUAAUCACGAUAUUGCUCUUGAUAAAGCAAGAAGCUAAAACUUGUGUAUAUGUUUCCUAACACAAUAUCACAAAGUAAAUUUGACUCAUUCGCCACAAGGAUGCACGCAACAGCUCAGUCGUGAUAUGUUAGUGCUGCUCACCACUUUUUUUUUUGUGUGUUGAGCGUAUGCAUAGAUGCAGCAUUAUUUCCCCCGUGAUUUCAGGUGCAUCUGCGAAUGCUAGGCCUUCGUUCGGAAGAGCUGAUGGAUCCGAAACCGAAAGUGUGACAUAGCUGGUCUCGAUGAGAAAAUAUUGUUUCAGCCUUUAUGGAGAGGAUAUUGUCCACCCUUAAUACAAUUAAGGUUGUGCAACAGACGCAUACCCAGCUCUUGGCAGAGCUGAAGAAUAAUGCUGAAGAAGCAUGCCCAGAGAGCCAAAACCUCCCUGAUCAGCUGCCAUUUUUGACCACAAGAGACAUGGUUGAUUGAGAUGCUGAACUCGGGGUCAACAAGGAAGCAAAGCUUCGAAUGAAAAGACACAUGCUUGUCCAAAGUGGUGACACCAUAAACCAGAAGACUGCACGCAUCUUAAAGAGUGUGAUGUCGUGGGAUGUGGCAAAACAGUUCAGUUGGUAUAGUGCAAAAGGCAAAAGGAAGUUUUGCGAGCUGAAUAUUUGCAAGCUACUGUGCAGUAAGUCUUCUGCUACAAUAUUAUCACUUUCGUUGUCUGCAUUGUCAUAGCUCAUUUUCCUCGCACCAUUGACACUUAUUUUCUUAUGCAGCCUGCCUGAUGGAAUAUAUCAAGCAGAAACAGGAGGAGGCUACACUAAAAAACAUAGAAAAAGCAGCCAUGUAUUGGUUCCGCCAUGCCGCAGAACGGGCAGCAGCAGGGCAACAAAGGCAACAAAGACCACUGAACAAAACUUCAGAACAGGACAAUGACGCUCUCAUUUCUUGAGACAGUGCACCUUAAUUACUGCUUAAAUGUGCAAUAAAUACUUCUGGUGAUCA
RNAcentral lists this long non-coding RNA (996 nucleotides) under Dermacentor andersoni. Its description in RNAcentral is "uncharacterized LOC126518015". The record is from RNAcentral. Lineage: Eukaryota; Metazoa; Arthropoda; Arachnida; Ixodida; Ixodidae.